GACGAACGCUGGCGGCGUGCUUAACACAUGCAAGUCGAACGAUGAACCACUUCGGUGGGGAUUAGUGGCGAACGGGUGAGUAACACGUGGGCAAUCUGCCCUUCACUCUGGGACAAGCCCUGGAAACGGGGUCUAAUACCGGAUGAUACUUCCACUCGCAUGGGUGGAGGUUGAAAGCUCCGGCGGUGAAGGAUGAGCCC
RNAcentral lists this ribosomal RNA (200 nucleotides) under uncultured bacterium. Its description in RNAcentral is "partial 16S ribosomal RNA". It matches the Rfam family "Bacterial small subunit ribosomal RNA", at positions 28 to 232 of the family's 1533-position model. The record is from RNAcentral.